UGGCGAACGGGUGAGUAACACGUGGGCAAUCUGCCCUGUACUUUGGGAUAAGCCUUGGAAACGGGGUCUAAUACCGGAUAUCACAUUCUCUCGCAUGGGGGUUUGUUGAAAGUUCUGGCGGUACAGGAUGAGCCCGCGGCCUAUCAGCUUGUUGGUGGGGUAAUGGCCUACCAAGGCGACGACGGGUAGCCGGCCUGAGAGGGUGACCGGCCACACUGGGACUGAGACACGGCCCAG
RNAcentral lists this ribosomal RNA (237 nucleotides) under uncultured bacterium. RNAcentral's name for it is "partial 16S ribosomal RNA". It matches the Rfam family "Bacterial small subunit ribosomal RNA", at positions 96 to 334 of the family's 1533-position model. The record is from RNAcentral.